AACGCGAAGAACCUUACCAAGGCUUGACAUAUAGCGAAAAGUGGCAGAGAUGUCAUGUCCGCAAGGGCGCUAUACAGGUGGUGCAUGGUUGUCGUCAGCUCGUGUCGUGAGAUGUUGGGUUAAGUCCCGCAACGAGCGCAACCCUCGUUCUGUGUUACCAGCAUUAAGUUGGGGACUCACGGGAGACUGCCGGGGUCAACUCGGAGGAAGGUGGGGAUGACGUCAAAUCAUCAUGCCCCUUAUGUCUUGGGCUGCACGCAUGCUACAAUGGCCGGUACAAAGUGCUGCGAAAUCGUAAGAUUUAGCGAAUCACAUAAAGCCGGUCUCAGUUCGGAUUGAGGUCUGCAACUCGACCUCAUGAAGUCGGAGUUGCUAGUAAUCGUAGAUCAGCAACGCUACGGUGAAUACGUUCCCGGGUCUUGUACACACCG
RNAcentral lists this ribosomal RNA (431 nucleotides) under uncultured bacterium. Its description in RNAcentral is "bacterial SSU rRNA". It matches the Rfam family "Bacterial small subunit ribosomal RNA", at positions 958 to 1392 of the family's 1533-position model. The record is from RNAcentral.